AUGUUGAAGCAUGCUCGAGCAUCAAGGCAGUCAAGUACUUAUUCAAGUACAUCUACAAAGGGCAUGAUAGGGCAUCAUUUGCAUUCGAGCAAGAUAUUAUCAAUGAUGGGGGAAUCAUCAACGAAAUCCGACAGUAUAGCAUGCAUGCUAUAUAUCUCCUCCGGAAGCUAUUUACAAGAUAUCCGGCUUUAA
RNAcentral lists this ribosomal RNA (192 nucleotides) under Triticum aestivum (bread wheat). RNAcentral describes it as "partial small subunit ribosomal RNA". The record is from RNAcentral. Lineage: Eukaryota; Viridiplantae; Streptophyta; Magnoliopsida; Poales; Poaceae.